UUAGAAAUGGUGUAGUGGGAGCACGGCCUCUUAGUAUUGAGGGGGAUUACGAGAUUGAGAGGCAGUCCAGGGUUCGACUCCCUGUGUCUGAA
Mycena vulgaris is the source of this 92-nucleotide non-coding RNA. Lineage: Eukaryota; Fungi; Basidiomycota; Agaricomycetes; Agaricales; Mycenaceae. The record is from the annotation of a GenBank genome assembly.